Molecule: ribosomal RNA, 253 nt
Filed under: uncultured bacterium
Lineage: Bacteria
Description: partial 16S ribosomal RNA
Rfam family: Bacterial small subunit ribosomal RNA
Source: RNAcentral
UACGAAGGGGGCUAGCGUUGUUCGGAAUUACUGGGCGUAAAGCGUGCGCAGGCGGCUCAUCAAGUCAGAGGUGAAAGCCCAGGGCUCAACCCUGGAAUUGCCUUUGAAACUGGUGGGCUUGAGUGCGGGAGAGGUGAGUGGAAUUCCCAGUGUAGAGGUGAAAUUCGUAGAUAUUGGGAAGAACACCGGUGGCGAAGGCGGCUCACUGGUCCGAUACUGACGCUGAGGUGCGAAAGCGUGGGGAGCAAACAGG